AAGUCGUAACAAGGUAUCCGUAGGUGAACCUGCGGAUGGAUCAUUACCGAGAUACUAUAUUCUCUACGUGAUGUGAACUGUUGCAAGACUACAGUCAGCGGUUUGACUAGACGUGUUCUAGUCCUACUGCUGACUGUACCUAGUCAAAGCGUAACUGCUGUAACUAGUCAAAAUAAAUGAGUAACUAAGAGAACUUUUAGCAAUGGAUCUCUUGGCUCUC
Molecule: unclassified non-coding RNA, 220 nt
Filed under: fungal sp.
Lineage: Eukaryota; Fungi
Description: partial internal transcribed spacer region
Rfam family: Eukaryotic small subunit ribosomal RNA (bases 1-46)
Source: RNAcentral